RNAcentral lists this ribosomal RNA (506 nucleotides) under uncultured bacterium. RNAcentral's name for it is "partial 16S ribosomal RNA". It matches the Rfam family "Bacterial small subunit ribosomal RNA", at positions 29 to 523 of the family's 1533-position model. The record is from RNAcentral.
AGUGAACGCUGGCGGUAGGCCUAACACAUGCAAGUCGAACGGCAGCACAGGAGAGCUUGCUCUCUGGGUGGCGAGUGGCGGACGGGUGAGGAAUACAUCGGAAUCUACUCUGUCGUGGGGGAUAACGUAGGGAAACUUACGCUAAUACCGCAUACGACCUACGGGUGAAAGCAGGGGACCUUCUGGCCUUGCGCGAUUGAAUGAGCCGAUGUCGGAUUAGCUAGUUGGCGGGGUAAAGGCCCACCAAGGCGACGAUCCGGAGCUGGUCUGAGAGGAUGAUCAGCCACACUGGAACUGAGACACGGUCCAGACUCCUACGGGAGUCAGCAGUGGGGAAUAUUGGACAAUGGGCGCAAGCCUGAUCCAGCCAUACCGCGUGGGUGAAGAAGGCAUUCGGGUUGUAAAGCCCUUUUGUUGGGAAAGAAAUCCAGCUGGCUAAUACCCGGUUGGGAUGACGGUACCCAAAGAAUAAGCACCGGCUAACUUCGUGCCAGCCGCCGCCGUAA